Molecule: ribosomal RNA, 497 nt
Filed under: uncultured bacterium
Lineage: Bacteria
Description: partial 16S ribosomal RNA
Rfam family: Bacterial small subunit ribosomal RNA
Source: RNAcentral
GACGAACGCUGGCGGCGUGCCUAAUACAUGCAAGUAGAACGCUGAAGAGAGGAGCCUGCUCUUCUUGGAUGAGUUGCGAACGGGUGAGUAACGCGUAGGUAACCUGCCUUGUAGCGGGGGAUAACUAUUGGAAACGAUAGCUAAUACCGCAUAACAAUGGAUGACACAUGUCAUUUAUUUGAAAGGGGCAAUUGCUCCACUACAAGAUGGACCUGCGUUGUAUUAGCUAGUAGGUGAGGUAAUGGCUCACCUAGGCGACGAUACAUAGCCGACCUGAGAGGGUGAUCGGCCACACUGGGACUGAGACACGGCCCAGACUCCUACGGGAGGCAGCAGUAGGGAAUCUUCGGCAAUGGGGGCAACCCUGACCGAGCAACGCCGCGUGAGUGAAGAAGGUUUUCGGAUCGUAAAGCUCUGUUGUAAGUCAAGAACGGGUGUGAGAGUGGAAAGUUCACACUGUGACGGUAGCUUACCAGAAGGGGACGGCUAACUACGUG